AUUCCAGUUCCAAGAGCGUAUAUUAAAGUUGGCGCGGUUAAAAACUCGUAAUUGGAUGUCAGUCUAGGAAGGUUAGUCGCCGAAAGGUUGUACGCUGAUUUUCCUCAGACUUUGUCAGAAACUCGUGUUGCAGUUAACUGUGUGGUACCAUGUUCUGACCUUUCACCUUGAGGGAAGUAAACUGUUUCAGGCAGGCUACCCAGCUCGAAUACGUUAGCAUGGAACAAUGAAAUCGAUCUCGGUUUGAUCUCGUUGGUUCUAGAGCUGAGGUGAUGAUCAAUAGGAAGAGGCGAAUGUGUUCGUACUUGAGAGUGGGGAGUGAACUCCGGUGAUUUUCCAAAGGACGAUCCGAGGCGAACACAUGUGUCAAGGAUGUUUUCAUCA
RNAcentral lists this ribosomal RNA (384 nucleotides) under Eukaryota sp. RNAcentral's name for it is "partial small subunit ribosomal RNA". It matches the Rfam family "Eukaryotic small subunit ribosomal RNA", at positions 582 to 975 of the family's 1831-position model. The record is from RNAcentral.